GGGCGGUUAGCUCAGUGGUAGAGCGUCUCGUUUACACCGAGAGGGUCGGAGGUUCGAACCCUUCACCGCCCA
RNAcentral lists this transfer RNA (72 nucleotides) under Verrucomicrobiota bacterium. Its description in RNAcentral is "Verrucomicrobia bacterium tRNA-Val". It matches the Rfam family "tRNA". From Rfam's summary of the family: Transfer RNA (tRNA) molecules are approximately 80 nucleotides in length. Their secondary structure includes four short double-helical elements and three loops (D, anti-codon, and T loops). Lineage: Bacteria; Pseudomonadati; Verrucomicrobiota. The record is from RNAcentral. RNAcentral also lists the same sequence under 5 other names.